UGACCUCGGAUCAGGUAGGGAUACCCGCUGAACUUAAGCAUAUCAUAACG
This 50-nucleotide ribosomal RNA is filed under the name Trichophyton verrucosum. Its description in RNAcentral is "partial 28S ribosomal RNA". The record is from RNAcentral. Lineage: Eukaryota; Fungi; Ascomycota; Eurotiomycetes; Onygenales; Arthrodermataceae.